RNAcentral lists this ribosomal RNA (492 nucleotides) under uncultured bacterium. RNAcentral's name for it is "partial 16S ribosomal RNA". It matches the Rfam family "Bacterial small subunit ribosomal RNA", at positions 30 to 507 of the family's 1533-position model. The record is from RNAcentral.
AUUGAACGCUGGCGGCAUGCUUUACACAUGCAAGUCGAACGGUAACAGGCCUUCGGGUGCUGACGAGUGGCGAACGGGUGAGUAAUGCAUCGGAACGUGCCCAGAGGUGGGGGAUAACGCAGCGAAAGCUGUGCUAAUACCGCAUGUGAUCUGAGGAUGAAAGCGGGGGACCAGGCAGCAAUGUUUGGCCUCGCGCCUUUGGAGCGGCCGAUGUCAGAUUAGGUAGUUGGUGGGGUAAAGGCCUACCAAGCCGACGAUCUGUAGCUGGUCUGAGAGGACGACCAGCCACACUGGGACUGAGACACGGCCCAGACUCCUACGGGAGGCAGCAGUGGGGAAUUUUGGACAAUGGGCGCAAGCCUGAUCCAGCAAUGCCGCGUGCGAGAAGAAGGCCUUCGGGUUGUAAACCGCUUUUGUGCGGAACGAAAAGGCUCUGGCUAAUACCUGGGGCUGAUGACGGUACCGUAAGAAUAAGCACCGGCUAACUACGUG